This 764-nucleotide long non-coding RNA is filed under the name Carica papaya (papaya). Its description in RNAcentral is "long non-coding RNA (CPAP_LNC007021)". Lineage: Eukaryota; Viridiplantae; Streptophyta; Magnoliopsida; Brassicales; Caricaceae. The record is from RNAcentral.
AAUUCUUAAUUUGAAUUUAUUUAAAAUAACACUUUCAAAUCCAUCCCUAACUGUAUAGUCCAGUGCAAAAUAAUCAAGCUAUUUAAAGAAAUCACAACUGAUCAUCAACACUAUUUGCACAUUUUUUCAUAGUUUUGUCUAUUCAAUUAUCUUGGCUCAAUUAGGUUUCCAUUAUUUAUAAACCUUCACACGAAGAUGUUUAGACCUAUAUCAAUGAGGGGAUUCUCAACUAUCGUUGUGAAUGGGGAAGUGGUUCGAUUAGUAGUAGACUAAGUCAAUAAGGCUGAUGCGAUAUCCAUUCACAGGGAGUGGUUCAACAACUAUCAGUAGAAGACAUCAAACAGUAAUUCCUUUGUGAUAAUAGUUAAAUGGAUUUAGGAAUUUCUUUGUUCAUUAAAUUUUUUAUACAACAAUAAUAAUCUAAGCCUAAGGCUACCCUCGAAAUUUGUCACUUGUUUAUCUUUCUAAUGGAUAAAACACGUAUUUCACUAUACAGCCCAUCGAGCUCAUUACACGCACUUUGGCCCAUUAAGACCCAUUAGACACAUUUUGGCCCAUUAAGGCCCAAUAAGCAUACUCAGCCAUUAAGACCAACUAAACCCAUUUUUUCCCACUAAGGCCCAUUAAGUAAACCCGGGCCCAACAAGGCCCAUUAGGCAGGCCAAGGCCCAUAAAGGGGGAAGCCCUUCCUGCACUCACUAAUUGAUGAGGUAGAGACCAGCCACACGGCCCUCUCGACACACGAGUGCACUUGAUAAAUUUGU